AGCCUAUAUAUAAGGCUCGCGCUUGUCUUCUCACUUUCCAAAAAUUCCAAACAAAGAGAGGGGGAGAGAGUGGGCAGGGAAAUCAGAAAAUUGGGGGAUGAAUUCAAUUUUUGCUUAGAGGAUCGCUUACUUUUCCAGCAAUGAAGAAAGAUUUUUGAGGAGAAACGCUUUCAGAUGAGUAUUAUUUCUUUACUGUUUCUUUGUUUUCCCCCCUUCUUGGGGAUGAGAUUCUUCAGGUUUCGUGCUUUCUUGUUGCAUAAUCUUCUUCAAGUUCCCUGCUUUCUUGCUGCAUAUAACCGAUUUAUCUGUUAUUUGCAUUCAAUUAUGACUUAAAGCCAAAUUAUUUGUGAACUUGUCCCUGUGCAUGGGUUCUGUUUUAAGGGAGAUUUAGACAUUCUUUGUUUUAUGUUGAAGCACUUUGAAAAUCAAAAAAGAAAGACAAAAAGCAAUUGGAUGCCAGUUAUUUCUAUAGAAGUUAAAUGGCGUUAAAUUGAUCACCAGUUCUUUGCACAUGUUUAUAUCAUGCUUGAAACCUGCUCUGAUAAAGAAAAAAAAGAAAAAGAAAAAGAAAAAGAAGCCAGUAGAUGAUUGACUAGAUAUUUUGGCCUCAGAUAAUAUAGGUGAUUGAAUCACAAACUCCCAGUAGUUUGAAUACUAUUCCAUCUGUCCUUUGUGGCUUAUUUUAUCUGCUCGUAUCCCUAUUCAUUUGAUGGGUUAUGGGUCCUUUUUUUUGUAAGCCGCAAAGGGAUAGAAGAUAUAUGUCUAAACCAUAUGGAGUUUUUGAGUCACGCAACUAGAUUAUCCAGGGCAAAAAAUACUAGUGAAUACUUAUUGCUCACUUUUAGCACUUUGAUUAGUUUACUUUAGAUUUUCUGUUGCGUGGUCUGUUUACAUUGUUGAAUUAUGCAAUUUAUCUUUUCUUGCUUGUUUUUGCAUCAGCUGUCUUUGGUUAUGCAAGAAGUACUUAUUGAAAGACAUGUAGCUUAGUUUCAGUUAUGCUGCCUAGGCAUGUUCUGUAGUAAUUUGCCUAUUGAAUGAUGGUAUUCCUUUUUGUUAUAUUUUGGAUGGUACCUAACUGAUGUUGAUGCUUAGAUGGAAAUUCUCAAAAAAAAAAAAACAAAGAAAGAAAAAGAAAACAGACUUGUCUCAGUUACUAAAGACUUAGAAUUGAUUGCUGAUAGUUUCUUUUGUUGUUGAAUGGCAAUAAAUUGUUGCUUUCCCUCAUUAGGCUUUGAUUUUUCGCUCGUGAGAAUGCACAUGACCCACUUUUGGUUUCUUUAUAUUCCAUCAGCCUUCAUUUUGAGCUACAGGUACUCUUUUGUAAGUUACAAGGGUUAGAAAAUAUAUUGUCAUACUUUCUUUGAUAUAGCUUCUGAAAGUCAUUUUGCUAGGAGGAAAUUUCAGCUUCCUGUCACCCAAGAGGGAUGGGCCUUUCCAUUUAUGAUUUCCUGUCAUUUGGUCUGAUUUUCCUUUUCACCAUUCUUCAAUUUUUUUGUUGGAAUUAUUACUCUGCUCGUGCUUCUGUCUAUGGGUUACAUGUCUUAGGCAAAGCCCCCAUUUUAGGUGCUAUCCAUUUUCCCUUUUAUUGCUUAUCUUAUCCUCUUGUCCAGUUCAUGGAGUAUGAGUAAUUGCCAAAGAUGCAAUGGAGUAGAAUAGCAUUUCACAAAGUGGUAUACAAAAAGUGUUAGUUGACCCAUGAUGUCCUUCGAAUAGUCUAAACACAUAAAAUGAACUCUUUGGACCCAAAUAACAUCAAUCACAAAUUUGCUUCCUUAAUUCUUAGAUUGAAAAUCUGGUUCUAAUGAAAGCCAUUUAUUUAUUACUAUCCAUGGCACCAUCUUCAGUGCUAGAGCAGCCAAUUGCGCAUGCCUAUCUCCUUUUUUUCUGGGAUUUAAAAUCCUGCAAUUUUUUGGCCCCUCAUUACUGCAAGCAUUUCUGACUUAGUCCCAGUAGGUUCAUUAGUCUAUAUCAACUCUCUACAACCACCUCACAGUUAGAUUUCAAAUUUUCUAGCGUGAUUUUCGAUUCUCUCCACUGGGUUUCGUUCUCAUAUGGUAUUGGCAUAAUUCAAAAAUAUAUGUGGAGUACGUUGUGACUGAUUGUGCAGUUUAUUUCAGACUUCAAUUUGAAAAUGAUUAAAAUCAAUAGAAAUAUUAGUCAAAGUGCUUAAAGUAGGCUACAAGUCAUUAUUUCCUAAACUUUUUUUGCCUCAAAUAGUGUCAUUGCAUGACUGAAGACCUCUUAUGGUUUAAAUGACGUGUCGUUGGCCCUAUAUGGCUUAUUUUAUCUACUCAUUUUCAAUAGGGAAUGGGUUCUUUUUUUGUAAGCCAAAAAGGGAUAGAUGGUACCAUAUGGAGUUUUUGAGUCAUGCAAGUACACUAUUUGUGGCCAAAAUUCUUAAGUGAAUGAUUUACUUGUUGCCUACAUUAAAAUCUCUGACUAAUACUUCUGAUGAUUUUAGACAUUUUGAGACUGAAGAACGAAACAAAACUGCACAAUCAGUCCUUUGAGCUCAGUUAUAUUUUUUAUCUAUGCUGCUUAUCAUUAGAGAUUGAAACCCAACAGAGAUAAUCCUAAAUCGCAUUAGAAAAUUUUGAUUCUAAUGUAGAAAUGGCUGUAGAUUUUUAAUGGAGACUAAUGAACUUAAUGGAAAGCAUUGGGUGAUGCUUAGGGUAGUGAUGGACAAAAAAGGGCAGGAUUUUAAUUUUCAGAAAAGAGAAAAUACGUAUGCAAUUAACUCCUCUAGCAUUCCUGUGGGUGCCAUGGGUAGAGAACUGAAGGCUUUCAUUAGAACUAAAGUUUCAAUUCUGAGAAUCUAGAAUGCAAUUUUGUUUUUGAUGUUGUUUGGGUCUAAAGAAUUCAUUCCUAUGUGUUUAAACUCUUGGAAAGACUUCAUUCGUCAACUGCUUAGGCCUUUGUAUGCUUCUUAUGUAAGGGUAUUGUAAUUUAGGAUUUAAAUUGAAUAUGAUAUGAGGGACUAAAGUUACAUCUUUUUGGAUUCUUAGAUCUAUUUGGUUCUAUCAAAUCUAGAUGAGUUACUCCAAUUCUAUUUUAUGGGUCUGUUACAAGCUUAAAAUGUUAUCAAUAGAUUUUAUUGUAAAUAAGUAGUACUGUGGUGAAAUAAAUAUAGAAAAGAAAAAGGUUAAUUAGGAACUGAAAGUGAGCUUUUUAGAAAUUCCAGACAUUUACAAGAAAGCAUAUCGCACUAAGUUUCAUUUAGAGGUUGUUCUCGAUUAUUCGACAAGGUUUAAGGCAAAGAGUACGGAAAACAUGCAAAGGUUAGUAAGAAGUUAGGUGAAUUGGGUAGAGUCAUACUCUCUGCUAGCAUAUGUAGGACUCUCAUAUAAGGAUUUUGCACUUUGAUGUAUGAAUUGAAUAUUCAAGUGGUGACAGGGGGAGCAACGUAUAUAUGCAUCUUGUUGCAAAGUGAUUGAGUUUCUUGAAAUUGAUUUGUGGAUUGUGAAUUAUUUGGAAUAUCGCCUAUGAAUUUUAUGCUGAUUAGUAGUGCUCUUGUUAAAUAUGUGGAGAACAGGAAAAAAAAAGGUUAUUUAGAACAGAAACAUAAGUUCGAGAAAUCCCAAGAAUUUCCCAAGUGUAUUGCCACAAGGUUCAUUUGGACCUCUUUUAGCAUUCUAUAAGACUUAGAUAACCAGAACAUUCCAAGUUCAGUUAGAAGUUUGCUGUUUUUUGCAGAGUUUGGUUCCUUUGCAGGCGUUUAGAGGACUGGUAAACAAGGAUGUUGCACUUUGGGAUCUGAUUGAAGGUCCAGAUGUGACACGAGGAACUGAGUGUCGCAUCUUUUGGAUUCUGUCUAAUUUAGAGAGGGGGAGAGAGAAAGGGCAGAAAGGUUCAUGUGAAGAGAAUUGCUUUCUUUUCCUGCGGUGGAGAAAGAUUUUUGAGGAGCAACGCUUUCAGAUGAGUAUUAUUUCUUUAGUGUUUCUUUUUCCCCCGUUCUUGUAGAUUAGAUUCUUUUGAGUUCUAUGCUUGCUUGCUGCAUAUAACUGAUUCAUCUGUUAUUUGAUAUCAAUUAUGACUUAAUCCCAAAUUAUUUGUGAAUAUUGUCCCUGUACAUGAGUUUGCAUAUAGUAGCUGUAGACCACGAUUUAUGGAUUCUUGCUUCCUACUGAGUCCCGAUGGUGUAGAUUGCUGUUUUUUUAAUUUGUUUAACUCUGGUUUUUGCAUGUUAGAAGCUGAAGGUCUUAGGAAUUUUCCUAUGUGCCUCUUCAUUUUGUUCUGUUUUAAGGGAGAUCUAGACAAUCUUUGUUUUUGUUUUGAAGCACUUUGAAACUAAAAAAUAGAAAGACAAAAAUGAAUUGAUUACCAGUUAUUUCUAUAGAAGCUAAAUAGCAUAAAAUUGAUCACCAGUUAUUUGUACAUGUUUAUGUCAUGCUUCAAGGCUUUAGAGUACUUAUAUGGAAUUCUGUAUUCUAAUUUUUUUUAUUCUCUCAUUUGGGUUUUAAUAUCUGAUGAUAAAUGGCAUGAUUAGAAACAUCAAUUGAGCUUGAAAACUGCUUGCAUGUAUAUCAUGUUUCAUACUCUGAUAAAGAAUAAAAAAAGAAAAGAAGCCAGUAGAUGAUUGACUGGAUAUUUUGGCCUCAGAUAGUGUAGGUGAUUAAAUCACAAACUCCCGGUAGUUUGAAUACUAUUCCAUCUGCCCUUUAUGGCUUAUUUUAUCUACUCGUAUGCCUAUUCAUUUGAUGGGUUAUGGGUCUUUUUUUUUUGUAAGCUGCAAAGGGAUAGAAGGCAUAAGUUUAAACCACUUGGGAGUUUUUGAGUCAUGCAACUAGAGUAUCCUGGGCAAAAAAUAUUAGUGAAUGCUUAUUAUUGCUUACUUUUAAAACAUUGAUUAGUUUACUUUAGAUUUUCUGUUGUGUGGUCUAUUUACGCUAUUGAAUUAUACAUUUUGUCUUUUCUUGCUUGUUUUUGCAGCAGCUGUCUUUGGUUAUGCUGGAAAUUCUUAUUGAAAGACGACAUGUUGCUUAGUUUCAGUUAUGCUGCCUACGCAUCUUCUGUAUUACUUUGCCUAUUGAAUGAUGGUAUUCCUUUCUGUUAUAUGUUGGAUAAUACCUAACUGGUGUUAUCCUAUAUUUUGGUCCGAUUUUCCUUUUCACCUUUCUUCACUUUUUUUUUCCUUUUCUUUUGGAGUCAUUACUGUGCUUGUGCUUCAGUUUUUUGGGUUACAUGUCUUUGGUAAAGCCCCAUUUAUAUAGGCGCUAUCCCUUUUUCCCUUUUAUGGCUUAUCUUAUCUUCUUUGUAUUUUCUCGACUUGGGUAUGAGUAUUUUGCAGAAGACGCUCGGGAAUCAUUCUGGCUUUGACGUUUUCUAUG
Molecule: long non-coding RNA, 5327 nt
Organism: Coffea arabica (coffee)
Lineage: Eukaryota; Viridiplantae; Streptophyta; Magnoliopsida; Gentianales; Rubiaceae
Source: RefSeq, a predicted model, not a curated record